Molecule: unclassified non-coding RNA, 265 nt
Filed under: Hevea brasiliensis (rubber tree)
Lineage: Eukaryota; Viridiplantae; Streptophyta; Magnoliopsida; Malpighiales; Euphorbiaceae
Source: RNAcentral
AAAAUUUAUUGAAUUUGAAGUGGUUCCAUUACAGUAGCACAAUGUCGAUGUUCUUAACUUACGUAGAAUCAACCCCCCCAAAACAAAAGAGGAAAAAAAAAAAAAUUUUCAAUGGCCAAAAGGCAUGUCCAAGAUAACAAUUGUUCACAAAUUCAACUAAUUAUAUAACUAAAUCACUCCAAAUCGUUAAACUUGUACCUCUUGAACAUCAAAAUAUAGCACAUUCAUCCUGAAAGCCAAGCUCCUGGUAGCUAAACACCUCGCU